AGGUUUCAGAAGAAUCCAUCAAAUUCAGUCAUUUAAUUUAACUAUACAUAUAUUCCUCAUCAUGUGGACCUCUCAAUUUGAGUCCUGAAACAGCAACUAUUCUCUCGAAUCAAAUUCAAAACCCUAUUCAUCACUUUCUCUCUCAUUCCCUCUCGUUAACAAGAUUACAAACAAGACGCCUAUUCUCUCUCAUCCACUUAUUCAUUUUACCUAGAUACUUCCUUAUCCGGCUUUUGAUAUCAUUUUCACUGAAUCCGUAUGAAUGAACUAAAAAAUUCACUAAUAAAUAGCUAAAUAUUUUGUUAGGGUAGGCUUGAACCCUGUAAAAAACUGAAUAUAACCCCA
Molecule: long non-coding RNA, 345 nt
Filed under: Brassica napus (rape)
Lineage: Eukaryota; Viridiplantae; Streptophyta; Magnoliopsida; Brassicales; Brassicaceae
Description: long non-coding RNA (BNAP_LNC008216)
Source: RNAcentral